GGCUCUUUCUGGUCUUUUGUCUGGUUAUUCGCAUUCCUUCCGUGGCAUGCUGCAGUAGAAGAUGCAAUACCCUGGGAGUAUCUCUUUUUGUCGCUUUUCCUGAGUUUCAUCGCAAUCGCAGUAAUUAUUAUUACAUGCAAGAUCUAUAUCGAUAAAAUAUUACGAGAUCAACUCUUGACGGAGGCAUCAGUUGCAGCCCCUGUUACAAGAGUGAACCUCAGAAAUGGCGCAGGUU
Styela clava is the source of this 235-nucleotide non-coding RNA. The record is from RefSeq and is a predicted model, not a curated record. Lineage: Eukaryota; Metazoa; Chordata; Ascidiacea; Stolidobranchia; Styelidae.